CGCUGCUAAAGAGUGUGUGCACACACUCCGUCACGUGCUUCUUACGCUCUGAAACCCCUCCAGAGAGCGAAGAGUGAUGACGGCGUUACACAGCGCGAGCACACUCAGACUUUAGACAGGAGAGUCACAGAGAGGAGAGGAGAAAAAAGGGGGCGAGGAGAAGGAUCGACGCACAAAGCGGCCUCUACCAAACAGCCUGAUCAGAUGAAACUGAUAUUAUGAGACCUGUUCAGAGAAUCAACCAAAUAUUCAAACUUCCUCUGUUGAGAGUCUUCGAAAGGGUCUCUUCUUCGUCUUCUUUUUUUUAAAUAUUUGCAGUUAUGUGAAAUGCAACUUAAUUAGUAAAACUGGAGCUCUUUUAGCAGAAGUUUGAUUUGUCACGAAUUGUUAUUUUUAACAUGAUUGUGUUUAUUGGUUGUAUGUUAUGAGAGCUGGAGAAGUGUGUGUCAUGUUUCCUCCUUGGUGCGUUUUGUUUCACAGUCGCCUCCCCGAAGUAGGAGCUAUAAUUUGAAGAUCACGCAGCCUUUAAUGGGAGCGGGGUUACAGCAACUGCUGCCGCCUCCCAAUACCGCGCAGAUAAAGGAGGAGAUCCGUGACGUGGACAUCUUCUCAAGUCACCAAGCAAUGAAACACACUGCUUCAAGCUCCAAACCCAUUGCAUACAAACAGUUUGACUCUCCACUUAUUUGACUUAUUAACUUUUUUCAGUUUUGUGAAUGGAUAUUUCAAAUGUCAAGUCUGUAACAAUCACAUCAAUUUGUUUUCAUAAAAAAACAAAAAAAAAAAAGAGCAAAUUAACUCGAGCCAUGGUGUUUUUGUGUUACUUUUAGGAGGAGCAACUCUGGUCUUUCUUUACUUCUUUAGUGAGUUAAAUGAAGAUGUAUGUCGUGAGAGUGAGUGUGUGUUUCCUCCUGAUGGGGUUUCUCUACUCGUGCACAUCCCACCCUCACUGGUCACAAUCCCCUCGCCAGGCUGAAUGGCAGACCUCUGGAUUGGCUAAGUGAUGAAAUGAUGACCCCAUUAUGAGAAGUGAUUCCAAAAUGAGAGGCAACGGACAAAGAUUGUAUACCCCUCUCUCUCUCUCCCCCCCCCCUCUCUCUCUCUGUCUCUCUUUCUGCAGCACCGUCCUCAGCAGCCCGCUGCCAGCGGAGCAGAUGAUGAUUGAUUCGCUUGAGAAGGAUCACAGGAAGCACCCAUUGAUUUCUUUCUCUCUUUUUUUCCCUUUUUUGGUGUUUUAUUAAACAUAUAUAUAUAUUUAUUUACCCCUGUAUCUUUGGGGCAUGUCAAGACUCACCUCAUUUGGGUGACGCUAUAAGUGGGAUAAUUCACACUUUUCCAUCACAAGAUGGACGACCUUAAGAAUUACUUCAGAAAUGAGUCAAUAGACCCAGCCAGUAAAUUAAUAUUGAUUGGCAAUAAUGAUGGCUGAGUGUGAAUAUGGGCUCUUGCAGUGACCCCGCCUUUAGACUCUAGGUAUCUUUACAGUGAUGCUAAACGUUUGCAACCAAAUACGCCUAUAAAGGUGCAUGUAAAAAAAUAAAUAAAUAGAAAUGUAACUAUUUCAGUGGUUAAUUUCAAAAAGUAAAACUCAUAGGGACAUUACUUACAGAGGGACACAUUUAAAGUACUUAUUUUAGUUCAUUGCACGAGUAUGGCUUGCAGCUGAUCCAAACCAAAUAUUCAGUUUUACAGAAAAUUUGAAUGAGACAGUAAAUCUGUUCAUGAUUCUCUCAUUGCUGAGGUUAUGGCUGUUGCAAAUGCAUCUUUACCCGUCGCACUUUUUCCUUUCUCAACUUUCCACUAUAAGGCUUGGACACAGCUAUCUGUGAACAACCACCCCGUUCAGCUGUGGCCUAUGUAGACUAACCUCCUUGUUGAUGGUGUCCGGGGUUGUCUGCUAGACCUCUGUUAAGUUAGCCGUCUUCCCUAUGAUUAUGUGGGCCAUAACAUAACAAUAACAAAACAUUUCUGUAUUCUCUUUUUUGUGUGUUAUGAUAUGAUUUACUGAGAAAAUAAAUUUGGGGAUUUCAAUUUAUCUAAGCUGGAAUCAUCAAAAAGACAAGAGUUAAAUGAAAUGUAUCCGUUUGUGUCUAAUUAAUCUAUUUGAUCUAUAAGUUUGACCUUUUUUGAAUUUAAUUACUGUGAUAGGUAAAUUGUUUUAUAUUCUAAUUUAUUGAAAUGCACCUGUAGGUUACACCUGGAAAAAAAAAGAAGAAACAAAACACAGGAGCAGUUAUUUCCUCCUCUCACAGCCAGUACGUGUUUCUUUCACUUUAAUUUCUAACUUUGAUCAAACCAGAACUACAGUUUGAUCUGAAGGUGCCAUAAGGUAAUAAUCCCAUACUACCUUAAAGCUCCUGAGGUCCAUGUAGGAAGUCUGUGCCUUCGCAAAAACGUAAGGUGAUACAACUUGCAAAUCCAAUGACUGCCAAAAGGCUGAAACCACAGUGUGGGAGCAGUGUCCCAGAUAUUUGCUCUGACUUAAUCCAAUUGAAAUAGUAUGAGUGAGUUGCAGGGGCUCCCAGGUCUGUUCCCUGCUUAUGUAUGUGAUGCAUAAUAGAAGUUGACGAGGUUGGUGAUAGAUCACAGCCCAGGUAAUGUAAACACAUUAAUCCCUCAGGGUUCAUGUGCAUGUUCUUUCUCUUGUUUGGUCUCUUCUAUCAGCCUCCCCAACUCUAAGACACACACCGCCCCGACCCACCCACCUCAGCCCUACCUCCACCCCCCCACCCCAACUCCCAAGUGUUCAUCAUCAUCCCUAAAUGCGUUACUGGAGCACAAACCAGAAGCAGCCUUAAUCUGUCAACAUGCCCUUUAAUUGGAAGAAGAAAACAACACGUGCUCCUGGUUGUGCCAUUCCUAAGUGCACAUGCCAAAGAAAUACAGCGGUCACGGAAGAAGUGAUCCCGGGAGAGAGGGGCAUAAUUAAAAGUAUCUUUUAAUAGGCUUGUAAUGCUGAGCCUGACUCUUGUUGCCCUAAGUAGAGUGCAAAAUCUGUGGCUGGAGACGGACAUGCGGCGAAGGGGGCUUCUGCUAAAGGAGACUGUAAACGAUACACCGCCUCCACCGUCAUCAGACAUGCUGUCUCCACCUGAGUCGCCGCACGGAGGACAACAGCCACUUUCAGCCUCUGCCGCGGACACUUCGGGCUCACCAGCUAACCGUGUCCCUUUGUUCUCCGAAUGAGAGUUGCUCUUCCACAACACAACAUCAGCUCUCCGACUCGCCAUCCCCCCAAGUCGCUUUGCCAACUUCUGCUCUGCCUCCAACUCACAACACCAGCGGGGAGUGAGAACUGGGAUUAAGGGGUUGAUUUUGGGCCUGCUACACUGUAAUCAAAUGAGACUGCUUAGGGGAGAGGAGGAGAAGGAGGAGGUGGAGUAUUAUGUUCUGUAGUGCAUUCCACUGCAGUGUUUUUUUUUUUUUUCUUUCUUUUUUUUUUUUUUUUUUUGUUGUUUUUGUCAGGGCAGGCUUUGAUGCCGUAUCCCCUUACCUUUGUAGUCCCGGUAGCCAUGUUUCAUAAACACGGAAUAGGAAACAUCCUCGGCAUUAGAAAUGUAGAUUGGUGCUUUCCUCCCUGCCACCCCACAUUCCGCACGUGCCCGGUCACAUUCUCCAUCUCCCAGCACUGGGGUAUUAAGUUUCCUCUCUCAUGCCUGUGAUACAUUUAAACAUCUCACAAUCAGCCCCAGUGAUUUAGAGUGUCAUGUAUAAUCUGCCGCAACAACAAUGCCAACAUCGCUUUUUGUCCUUGUGGCUGCCAUCGUUUCUGUUUUUCUCUUAGUUUUUGGGGUUUCGGGACAGCUGCAUUGGCAAAAUGCUUAAUUCCGCGAAGCUGAAAAGUUGGUAUUAGUGCGAUUUAGACUUGGUCUUCAUUAUGGAGGAUAUAAUAUUAAUACUGAGCUUCACAUUCUGUAGAGUACCCCCCCCUUGCUUUGUGUUAUCACACGGGGAAUUGUCUGGUCUCACUUCUCUUUGUAGUUAACUGAAACCCUCCAUGGGAUUGAGUUAAAUUGUAUUUCUAAAUCUAACUCAUUAAAAGCCAAACUCUUCAGU
This is a long non-coding RNA of Fundulus heteroclitus (mummichog), 4056 nucleotides long. RefSeq lists it as uncharacterized. The transcript is spliced from 2 exons. Lineage: Eukaryota; Metazoa; Chordata; Actinopteri; Cyprinodontiformes; Fundulidae. The record is from RefSeq and is a predicted model, not a curated record.